RNAcentral lists this transfer-messenger RNA (350 nucleotides) under Acidimicrobiales. RNAcentral's name for it is "JAJZJT01 sp021798955 Standard tmRNA". It matches the Rfam family "transfer-messenger RNA". Rfam says of the family: Bacterial tmRNA, also known as 10Sa RNA or SsrA, is named for its dual tRNA and mRNA-like properties. Its role is to liberate the mRNA from a stalled ribosome. The record is from RNAcentral. RNAcentral also lists the same sequence under 1 other name. Lineage: Bacteria; Bacillati; Actinomycetota; Acidimicrobiia.
GGGGGUGACAGGCUUCGACUCCGGUCGUCGAGUUGGGAGAAGCGAGCCGUGGUCUCCGGAGCCACGUUAAAGAGCCGGAACCAACAACAAACGCCGAGCCUCAGCUCGCGCUCGCUGCCUAAGAACAGCGACGUCCGACCGACCCCAGCCCUGCGGGCCGGAUCCGGGCGACAUCUCGCAGGGCUCACCUGACUGCUGCGCCGACGGGCGGACAGGGACACUUCAGUCGGAUACGGAGCGGCAUCGAUGCCGGUGCAGGUGCCGCUCUCGACAAUCUCUCACCGGCUGCGCUCGGAGAAGGCCCAGUGAGAAGCCGGAGGACGCGGGUUCGAUUCCCGCCACCUCCACGG